CGCAGGUUAGCGCACUCUAACUGCCCUCUCUGCUGCAGUGAUGAUCAGCUCAGCCAGGUGUUUCUGGAGCAGAACCGCUGGCGGGUGUUCAAGAGUGAGGUGCUGAGCAGCGUGGGGAGGGAGGGCACUCCGAAUUUCCCUGGUCUGAUGAGGAGGAGGAGAAGAGGGGGGAGGAAGGAUGCACAGAGGAGCAGCGAAUGGGAGAUCAAUCGAAGAGGCCUCCUGUUCCUCACUCACCCUACUUCAGCACAAGGAAAGGUAUGGGCUGCACCCGGUCCUCAAAAAGAGCUACCGACAGAGGAGACAGCGCCCCCUAGAGCACUGAGACUGAUCCACGCCAUCGCCAUCCCCAAGAUCAGUGGGAAGAGCAGAGAUUAUUGACCAGGACAAAGUGGACUUUUCUACGGUCCAGUAGAUUGUUUUUUACUGUCUACUGUGUUCUCUCAGAGGGUAAAAAGUGAUAACACAUCAACAUUUCAGGUUUUAUGAGCUACAGGCCAACAUACAAAUUAUGCUGACCAAACAGAAAUGCAGUACUGUAUGUUUAGAUGCACUCAAUCUAGUGUGCAUCAAAAGAAACUGAUCACAUACCUACAACAUACAAAGUUUUCACCUUGCAAAAAAUCUUGUUGUGGCUCAUUGAAUAGACAUGAAUAUUAAAUGAAGUAAAUUCCAUUUGCUGAUUAAUAUUUGCGUGUACAUACGGUA
RNAcentral lists this long non-coding RNA (708 nucleotides) under Lepisosteus oculatus (spotted gar). RNAcentral's name for it is "lncRNA (ENSLOCG00000022700.1)". Lineage: Eukaryota; Metazoa; Chordata; Actinopteri; Semionotiformes; Lepisosteidae. The record is from RNAcentral.